RNAcentral lists this ribosomal RNA (489 nucleotides) under uncultured bacterium. RNAcentral's name for it is "partial 16S ribosomal RNA". It matches the Rfam family "Bacterial small subunit ribosomal RNA", at positions 28 to 507 of the family's 1533-position model. The record is from RNAcentral.
GAUGAACGCUAGCGGCAGGCUUAAUACAUGCAAGUCGAGGGGCAGCAGGACUGUAGCAAUACAGUUGCUGGCGACCGGCAAACGGGUGCGGAACACGUACGCAACCUACCCAAAACUGGGGGAUAGCCCGGGGAAACCCGGAUUAAUACCUCGUAACCUUUUUAAGUGGCAUCACUUGAUAAGUAUAGCUCCGGCGGUUUUGGAUGGGCGUGCGCCUGAUUAGGUAGUUGGUGCGGGUAACGGCCCACCAAGCCUGCGAUCAGUAACUGGUGUGAGAGCACGACCAGUCACACGGGCACUGAGACACGGGCCCGACUCCUACGGGAGGCAGCAGUAAGGAAUAUUGGUCAAUGGACGCAAGUCUGAACCAGCCAUGCCGCGUGAAGGAGGAAGGUCCUCUGGAUUGUAAACUUCUUUUAUGGGGGACGAAACCCGGAUAUUCUUAUCCGAUUGACGGUACCUCAGGAAUAAGCACCGGCUAACUCCGUG